RNAcentral lists this ribosomal RNA (346 nucleotides) under uncultured bacterium. RNAcentral describes it as "partial 16S ribosomal RNA". It matches the Rfam family "Bacterial small subunit ribosomal RNA", at positions 338 to 681 of the family's 1533-position model. The record is from RNAcentral.
CCUACGGGGAGCAGCAGUGAGGAAUAUUGGUCAAUGGCCGGAAGGCUGAACCAGCCAUGCCGCGUGAAGGGCAGGGCCCUAUGGGCGUUAAACGUCUUUUGUGCGGGAGCAAGAAUGGGCACGUGGGGCCAGACGAGAGUACCGUACGAAUAAGCAGCGGCGAACUCCGGGCCAGCAGCCGCGGUAAUACGGGGGAUGCAAGCGUUAUCCGGAGUUAUGGGGUUUAAAGGGUGCGUAGGCGGUGAGGUAAGUCAGCGGUGAAAUGCCCCCGCUCAACGGGGUGAAGUGCCAUUGAUACUGCCUUGCUGGCCUGCGGCUGCCGUGGGCGGAAUGUGUGGUGUAGCGG